This 383-nucleotide ribosomal RNA is filed under the name uncultured eukaryote. RNAcentral's name for it is "partial 18S ribosomal RNA". It matches the Rfam family "Eukaryotic small subunit ribosomal RNA", at positions 592 to 976 of the family's 1831-position model. The record is from RNAcentral.
CAAUAGCGUAUAUUAAAGUUGUUGCAGUUAAAAAGCUCGUAGUUGGAUUUCUGGUAGGAGCGACCGUGCCGAACUUGAUUGUUCGUGUAUUGUGUUGUCUUCAGCCAUCCUCGUGGAGAACUUUUCGGGCAUUAAUUUGUCGGGAUUGGGACCCGCGUCGUUUACUGUGAAAAAAUUAGAGUGUUUAAAGCAGGCAAUCGCUUGAAUACAUUAGCAUGGAAUAAUAAGAUAGGACUUUGGUACUAUUUUGUUGGUUUGCAUACCAAAUUAAUGAUCAACAGGAACAGUUUGAGGAUAUUCGUAUGAGCAUGUCAGAGGUGAAAUUCUUGGAUUUUGAUCAGACGAACUACUGCGAAAGCAUUUAUCAAGGAUGUUUUCAUUAA